UCACAGGAGAACUUACAAUAAAUGGUGAAU
This 30-nucleotide non-coding RNA is filed under the name Mus musculus (house mouse). The record is from RNAcentral. Lineage: Eukaryota; Metazoa; Chordata; Mammalia; Rodentia; Muridae.